GAUGAACGCUGGCGGCGUGCUUAACACAUGCAAGUCGAACGGAAAGGCCACAGCUUGCUGUGGUACUCGAGUGGCGAACGGGUGUGUAACACGUGGGUGAUCUGCCCUGUACUUCGGGAUAAGCUUGGGAAACUGGGUCUAAUACCGGAUAGGAAUCACAUGUGGGUGGGUGGUUGGAAAGCUUUUGCGGUAUGGGCUGAGCUCGCGGCCUAUCCGCUUGUUGGUGGGGUAUUGGCCUACCAAGGCGUCGACGGGUAGCCGGCCUGGGAGGGUGUACGGCCACAUUGGGACUGAGAUACGGCCCAGACUCCUACGGGAGGCAGCAGUGGGGAAUAUUGCACAAUGGGCGCAAGCCUGAUGCAGCGACGCCGCGUGGGGGAUGACGGCCUUCGGGUUGUAAACUCCUUUCGUCAGGGACGAAGCGAAAGUGACGGUACCUGGAUAAGAAGCACCGGCUAACUACGUG
RNAcentral lists this ribosomal RNA (466 nucleotides) under uncultured bacterium. Its description in RNAcentral is "partial 16S ribosomal RNA". It matches the Rfam family "Bacterial small subunit ribosomal RNA", at positions 28 to 507 of the family's 1533-position model. The record is from RNAcentral.